GACGAACGCUGGCGGCGUGCUUAACACAUGCAAGUCGAACGGAAAGGCCCUGCUUUUGUGGGGUGCUCGAGUGGCGAACGGGUGAGUAACACGUGAGUAACCUGCCCUUGACUGUGGGAUAACUUCACGAAACUGGGGCUAAUACCGGAUAGGAGCUCCUGCUGCAUGGGGGGGGUUGGAAAGUUUCGGCGGUUGUGGAUGGACUCGCGGCUUAUCAGCUUGUUGGUGGGGUAGUGGCUUACCAAGGCUUUGACGGGUAGCCGGCCUGAGAGGGUGACCGGCCACAUUGGGACUGAGAUACGGACCAGACUCCUACGGGAGGCAGCAGUGGGGAAUAUUGCACAAUGGGCGGAAGCCUGAUGCAGCAACGCCGCGUGCGGGAUGACGGCCUUCGGGGUGUAAACCGCUUUCGCCUGUGACGAAGCGUGAGUGACGGUAAUGGGUAAAGAAGCACCGGCUAACUACGUG
RNAcentral lists this ribosomal RNA (468 nucleotides) under uncultured bacterium. RNAcentral's name for it is "partial 16S ribosomal RNA". It matches the Rfam family "Bacterial small subunit ribosomal RNA", at positions 28 to 507 of the family's 1533-position model. The record is from RNAcentral.